Molecule: transfer RNA, 70 nt
Filed under: Boselaphus tragocamelus (nilgai)
Lineage: Eukaryota; Metazoa; Chordata; Mammalia; Artiodactyla; Bovidae
Description: tRNA-His
Rfam family: tRNA
About the family: Transfer RNA (tRNA) molecules are approximately 80 nucleotides in length. Their secondary structure includes four short double-helical elements and three loops (D, anti-codon, and T loops).
Source: RNAcentral
GUAAAUAUAGUUUAAAAAAAACAUUAGAUUGUGAAUCUAAUAAUAGAGGCUUAUUACCCUCUUACUUACC